RNAcentral lists this long non-coding RNA (338 nucleotides) under Calidris pugnax (ruff). Its description in RNAcentral is "lncRNA (ENSCPUG00000010047.1)". The record is from RNAcentral. Lineage: Eukaryota; Metazoa; Chordata; Aves; Charadriiformes; Scolopacidae.
CACAGCUCAUUUGCUCUUUGGAGCCCUGUAGUGUUAAGCAGGGAGUUGGAGUACUUCAGUUACCACAACCUCAAAGGAGAGAUUGGAGAUUUACAUGCAGAAAAUCUUUCCUUCCUCAAGAAAUCCAACAAAGAAUCCUUGUAAGCACCAGGUGCAAGAAAACCAAGGUUUCCUUCUAGCUUAGAAGACACCGAGCUCCUUUUUGCAACGUGGUGUGUUGGUGACAGGAGAGUUCCAGGGGCUAAUGAGGAGACGCAGAAUCACAAUGAACCUAGUGACCAUUUCAAAUCUAAUCCAAGUAAGUAUUUUUCAUUUAUCUUUAAUCUGGUAUCUAAUCG